CUGGGCACCCAGACGUUGCAGGGGAAACGUGUGAUGGAGAAAAGCCAGCGUCUAUCCCCCCAAGAAUCCUGUGAUCAGACCGUCUGGCAACCUAGUGCACCUCUGGGUUGUGUGUCUGUCUCCGAGGUCUCGCUCUUCGCGGACGCGCCCCGAUUUUCGAGCCCUCCGUGCCAGCGCACAGGCGGGCUGCCGCGUGGGUCUCAAGGUGAAGGCCUGGAGGGCAGAGGGGUGGCGGUGACCCCGUUGCUCCAGCUCUCGGGGCCUGUGACUGCCCCAGCCACGUGCGGCGCGGGCGACGCCGCGGUUCGCGCGGUUCCAAGAGUGCGACCGCCCGGAGCCCAGCGCCUCUCAACCUUGCCCGGGCUCGGAACGUCGCGGGGCGUGUUCUCCGACACAGAGAAUUCGUGUGAGCCGACUGGCCUCGCCCUGACCUGCCCCUCUUAGGACAACACGGAAAACCGCUGGUGCAGGGUUUGCGAGUAGCUGGUUGCGUCCGCCGGGACCCGACAGACCGGCAGGUACGAGGGGCAGGUGGGGAGGCACCGGAGCCUCAGCGCAGCCCCGCCCGGCACCACCUGCCCGCUUUCAACGAAACACGUCGCCCAGGCCCAGAGAACUCCGGGACUGUCUGGGGAACGCGCCAGGCCCAUGUCGGCUGGGGCGCUCGGAGCUGGGAGAGGGCGGAGAGCCUCCAUCCAGGCCGGAGCAUCCCAGAGCCCGAGGUGCGGAGCAGCAUGGAGCGCCCGAGGCGGGCGGCGCCAGGGCCAGAGUCUACCCAGGGGAUUUCUGCCGCCUUUAUAGGCUGGAAAAAUAAAGAUCAAAAACAAACCGAA
This 833-nucleotide long non-coding RNA is filed under the name Homo sapiens (human). Its description in RNAcentral is "non-protein coding lnc-SIX2-1:6". Lineage: Eukaryota; Metazoa; Chordata; Mammalia; Primates; Hominidae. The record is from RNAcentral.